Molecule: unclassified non-coding RNA, 3212 nt
Filed under: Limulus polyphemus (Atlantic horseshoe crab)
Lineage: Eukaryota; Metazoa; Arthropoda; Merostomata; Xiphosura; Limulidae
Description: protein king tubby 1-like, transcript variant X1
Source: RNAcentral
UAUAUUGAUACACAUACUUCAGAAAAGCUGUAAAAUCUCUGUAAUAUUGUGUAAGAAGUAACCCGAUUAAUCAUGAUGCCUCUAUUGCUGUUAACAAUGAAACAAAUUCUGGAACAGAAACAAAAGCAGAAGAGACAAGCUCUCGGAAUGUUCCAGACUUCUGACACUCGACCAGCAUCUGGUAAUGGCCGAAAAAGACCUGUACGAGAAGAAGUCAAACCAUUGAUGGCAGGAUACAGUGUUCAAAAAAACAACAACCACAGUACUGUUCUCUGCUAUGACGGUCCACUUCAAUUCACCAUGAAUUUAGAAAACCCUGACGCAACGCCACCGACUCGGCAUAUGACUUCACUUGCAAAAUCAAAAGAAAAUCCAAGAGAAGUUAUUCCACUCUCCGAGUUCCCAGCCAGCCGCUCAGAAAUCAAGAGAAGAUUAGAAAACCUAGACCUAUUACCCUCUCAAGUUGAUCUUGAUGAAGAUCAGGAGAUCAUUCCGGAUAGUUCAACUGCAUCAGUCUUGUCAAAUAGCAGUCUUCAGUAUGCUUCUCUCUUAUCUUCUUCUGAUAGCCAAGAUCUAGCUGUGAAUACUCUUUUGGCUGAAGUUGUUCCUUGUGAAGCUCUGGUUCACGAUUUCUCAGCGUUACCAAGUUCAACUAACUCGUACAGUGAUGACCAAGUUGAUGAACAUAAACCUGAACUAGGUCUAGUAGGCCUUGGUAAACUGGAAGAUCUACUAGAGAAUCUCCCUGCAUUUAUUAGUGAGCCUUGCCCCCAGGGUCUGGUUAUUCGAUGUUGUAUCACUCGUGACAAGAAAGGGAUGGAGCGAGGCUUGUUUCCCACUUAUUUUCUUCAUUUAGAAAAAGACGAUGGAAGGAAGAUUUUUUUGCUUGCUGCGCGAAAGAGGAAGAAAAGUAAAACUUCCAACUACGUGAUAUCUGUGGAUCCAACCGACUUAUCUCGAGGAGGAAAUUCUUUUGUGGGAAAGCUGAGAUCUAAUAUUUUUGGUACCUCAUUCACUGUUUUUGAUUGUGGUGAUAACCCACAAAGACGUAGACUUUUUGGUGACGAAAUAGGAAUGCACUGUGAAGUUGCUACAGUUGUUUAUGAAACAAAUGUGCUCGGAUUUAGAGGCCCACGAAAGAUGACUGUUAUCAUUCCAGCAUUGACAUUUGACCACAAGAGAGUAGAUAUUAAACCAGUUUCGGAAAGAGAUACUUUAAUUGAAAGGUGGAGAAAUGGGAAUGUGGAAAAUUUAUUAACUCUUCACAACAAAACUCCUGUGUGGAAUAACGAAACCCAGUCCUAUGUUUUAAAUUUUCAUGGGAGAGUAACUCAAGCCUCAGUGAAGAAUUUUCAGAUUGUUAAUGACAGCAAUGUGGACUACAUUGUUAUGCAGUUUGGCCGUGUUUCAGAAGAUAUCUUUAGUAUGGAUUACAGUUAUCCAAUGUGUGUACUUCAAGCUUUUGCCAUUGCUAUCUCCAGUUUUGACAGCAAACUAGCAUGUGAAUAAUUUCUAUAGUACCAGUGAGAAUAUUUAGAAAAAAAAAAGAUUGGUGGUUUUACAUUGUUCAAUCCUGCUGUAAAAUUGCAUACUGAGUGAUACUUUAGGAAUAAGAGAAAUGAAGAUAGGUGUGUUUUUGUCUAAGGCUCAUUGAUACAUCACAAGUGGACUUACGCUCACAAAAUAUGUGAAAAAUGUAAAAUAUUGUGUUUUUCAUUGACAAAAAGCUACUAGUGAAAACACCUCAUGGUAGACAGAACAAAUUGUCAACUAGAGACUGAAGAGGAUGCAAGAAUGUGUUGAAACUACUUUCUCUGAUAUAAUACUUCUGACAGUUUGUUCCUUUACUGUGGUUUUUCAUUAAUUGCCACACAGCCAGUAGGGGACCUUUCUCUCCAACCCCCAGACCACAGCCAUUUUUGAUUAUUUUAUCCCCCCCCCAUUUCUUUCCUAAAUUUACAGGCCUGCCACUAUACAUAGUUUAAAUUCAGCAUUUUUGAUUAACAUGUUUGUUUUCCUGUAUAUAACUAUAUAUUAUUAUAUAACUAUAUAUAAUAACUAAAAACUAGUUCUUUGCCUUUAACUGAAUUUUGAUUUGAAAAAUAGACAUUAUUUCUUCAUUGGUUUUGAAACUUUACUUUUGCCAACUGUUAUAAAACUAAAAUGACAAAGUUUAAUACAAUAAUGGAACAUAUGCUGUAAGUAUUUUACUGAGCAUAUAGUCAUUUUUGGUCAACAUUGAACAAGCUUUUGGUUACAAAAUAAUCUGAUUGUGUGCUAAGCUGCUGGUCAAGUAAUUUAUAUGUCAUAAUAAAUAAAGAUGGCAUUAUAUUUGAAAGGGUGGCAACCGUUCAGUCCAGAUGAUGACAGCAACUCCAACCUAGAAGUGUGGUAUCAGAAUUUAUUUCCAAGUUUAAUGGAAGAUGUUUUUGAAUACUAUAAACAUAGUGUUUAUCUGAUUUUGUAACCAUGUUUAUUACUGGUUUGUUUACAAAACUUCAAUGUUUUAUAUGCUUAAAACUGUUUCUUCUGAAAUGCCCAUAUUUGUUUAUACUUGAGAAUUAUAUCUAUAAUAAAAAUAAUAUGCUUAAUUUUGUUUAGAAAUAAUGUGUAAAAUUUGAUAAUUAGAAUUUUCUGUUGGCUUGCUGGUGGGAUCCUAAAUAUUUUUUAUAUUUUCUGUUGCUUGUAAUUUAAACUUAACUGGCUUCAAGUGAGUGUAAUAAUCAACAACACAUGUUUAAAUCAACGUUCUCUAACCACAGAAAAGCUAUUUCUCUUGAACAUAAAAAUUAGUGAAGUGUAGAAUUUCAAAUGUUUAAAAAGUAUCCUUUUCUAACUCCAUGGAAUAGACAAAACUCAAAUAUGCUAUAACCUAGUGAUGUUUAUAGCUGUGCAAUAAUUGCUGGGGUGCAAUAUUCUCUGAAGGUAUACAAAUUCAGUCUCUUAACUUGGUCACUUUUGAUGAUUUAUUUUGAACUUUUUAAGUUUCUGCCACUUCAUUUCAUUCUUAUGGUGUUUGUAAGCCAAUGUCUCUAUAUUAUUAGGAGCACAGUUUAUGUAACUCAGGUAUUUUUCCUCAAACAUAGACAACCUUAUCUACUAGUUUGUAGUACUGCUUCAAACAUUUUAGCUAUGAACUUUAUAAAAGUUUUACCUGCAAUUGCAAGGAAAUUUUAAAAUAAUUGCUCUUAGAAAAUAUGAAUAUACCCCAU